RNAcentral lists this long non-coding RNA (211 nucleotides) under Theobroma cacao (cacao). Its description in RNAcentral is "long non-coding RNA (TCAC_LNC000508)". Lineage: Eukaryota; Viridiplantae; Streptophyta; Magnoliopsida; Malvales; Malvaceae. The record is from RNAcentral.
GAACAUGCUAAAGAAAGGGGAAAAUUAAGGAUAGCCGAAGGAGGUAUUCGUUCUAGGAAGAGCGUGACAGUAGUCCGACACUUUCCACCAAGCUGUGGGAGAAAUGUAAGGGAACAACUAGAAAAGGAUAAGGAGAAAGUAACAGUGGCGAGUAAACCCCUUAAAAAAGUGUUAGGUGUACGACAUUUUCCUCCUGGAUGUGGAAGAAAUG